Molecule: ribosomal RNA, 460 nt
Filed under: uncultured bacterium
Lineage: Bacteria
Description: partial 16S ribosomal RNA
Rfam family: Bacterial small subunit ribosomal RNA
Source: RNAcentral
CCUACGGGAGGCAGCAGUGAGGAAUAUUGGUCAAUGGGCGCUAGCCUGAACCAGCCAAGUAGCGUGAAGGAUGACUGCCCUAUGGGUUGUAAACUUCUUUUAUAUGGGAAUAAAGUGCAGUAUGUAUACUGCUUUGCAUGUACUUUAUGAAUAAGGAUCGGCUAACUCCGUGCCAGCAGCCGCGGUAAUACGGAGGAUCCGAGCGUUAUCCGGAUUUAUUGGGUUUAAAGGGAGCGUAGGUGGGUUGUUAAGUCAGUUGUGAAAGUUUGCGGCUCAACCGUAAAAUUGCAGUUGAUACUGGCAGCCUUGAGUACAGUAGAGGUAGGCGGAAUUCGUGGUGUAGCGGUGAAAUGCUUAGAUAUCACGAAGAACUCCGAUUGCGAAGGCAGCCUGCUGGACUGUAACUGACGCUGAUGCUCGAAAGUGUGGGUAUCAAACAGGAUUAGAUACCCGGGUAGUC